UUCAUGUUUUGAAGGGCUUUAAAUGGUUCAAAACGUGAGGCGCUGCUAUACCCCCUCGC
This 59-nucleotide microRNA precursor is filed under the name Sus scrofa (pig). Its description in RNAcentral is "miRNA (ENSSSCG00005024291.1)". Lineage: Eukaryota; Metazoa; Chordata; Mammalia; Artiodactyla; Suidae. The record is from RNAcentral.